UACGUAGGGGGCAAGCGUUGUCCGGAAUCACUGGGCGUAAAGGGCGCGUAGGCGGCUGGUUAAGUCUUGUGUGAAAGUCCGGGGCUCAACCCCGGAUCGGCACGGGCGACUCGCUGGCUGGAGCCCACUAGAGGCGGGUGGAAUUCCGGGUGUAGCGGUGGAAUGCGUAGAGAUCCGGAAGAACACCGGUGGCGAAGGCGGCCCGCUGGGGUGGAGCUGACGCUGAGGCGCGACAGCGUGGGGAGCAAGCAGG
RNAcentral lists this ribosomal RNA (253 nucleotides) under uncultured bacterium. RNAcentral's name for it is "partial 16S ribosomal RNA". It matches the Rfam family "Bacterial small subunit ribosomal RNA", at positions 524 to 776 of the family's 1533-position model. The record is from RNAcentral.